This 346-nucleotide unclassified non-coding RNA is filed under the name Hevea brasiliensis (rubber tree). Lineage: Eukaryota; Viridiplantae; Streptophyta; Magnoliopsida; Malpighiales; Euphorbiaceae. The record is from RNAcentral.
GAUCUUUAUUGCAUCUUUGUGGAUAUGAGUGGCUGCUAUUAAGUGGAAGUUUUUUACCUAGUUAUUUAUCCAAAUGAAGUGUUGGUUACAAGUUUAUGUAGGUGAUUGUUAAACAUCCAGAUUGACUCCAUUUUUGGGUUAUUGGGGCUUUAAUAACAGCCUUUGCGUCAUUAAACCUAGAAUUACAAGAUUCUACAUGCACUUGAGAUGUCUGUGCUCUGCUUGCCUCUAAACUGUACAUCACUGCUGGUCAUUAUGUUUCUUGAAUAAGUAGAGGCAACGUAUAUGAAAGGGGAAAAAGAAGAAGCUUGGAGAUGUGAAGGAUAGAAAUUGAAGACCAAGAGGG